RNAcentral lists this transfer RNA (63 nucleotides) under Elateroidea sp. 10 KM-2017. RNAcentral's name for it is "tRNA-Asp". Lineage: Eukaryota; Metazoa; Arthropoda; Insecta; Coleoptera. The record is from RNAcentral.
AAAGAUUUAGUUAAAUUAUAACAUUAACUUGUCAUGUUAAAAUUAUUAAAAUAAUAAUCUUUA